RNAcentral lists this ribosomal RNA (51 nucleotides) under Polymastia sp. WAMZ3927. Its description in RNAcentral is "partial 28S ribosomal RNA". The record is from RNAcentral. Lineage: Eukaryota; Metazoa; Porifera; Demospongiae; Polymastiida; Polymastiidae.
AAUCUCAGAUCAGGCGAGGUCACCCGCUGAAUUUAAGCAUAUCAAUAAGCG